GCGGACAUAGCUCAGUUGGGAGAGCGUCAGACUGAAGCGGACUUGCAUCCGGAAAACUUCAUUCAAUCAAUCUGAAGGUCGUGUGUUCAAUCCACACUGGCCGCA
RNAcentral lists this transfer RNA (105 nucleotides) under Colletotrichum chlorophyti. It matches the Rfam family "tRNA". Rfam says of the family: Transfer RNA (tRNA) molecules are approximately 80 nucleotides in length. Lineage: Eukaryota; Fungi; Ascomycota; Sordariomycetes; Glomerellales; Glomerellaceae. The record is from Rfam by way of RNAcentral.